ACUAACAAGGAUUCCCUUAGUAACGGCGAGCGAACAGGGAAGAGCUCAAAACCGAAUCCUAUGGUGUGAUGCCAUUAGGAAAUGUGGUGUAUGGGUAUUGGUACUUGUGACAAUUAAAUAUUAUUAAGUCCACAUGAUUGUGGCUUUUAAUCCCAUGGAGGGUGUAAGGCCCGUAUAUAAUAUUUUAAUAUUAAUUGUCACUUGGUGAUACCCUAGAGUCGGGUUGUUUGGUAUUGCAGCCCAAAGUGGUGGUAAACUCCAUCAAAAGCUAAAUACAACACGAGUCCGAUAGCGAACAAGUACCAUGAGGUAAAGUUGAAAAGAACUUUGAAGAGAGAGUUCAAUAGUACGUGAAACCGUUCAGAGGUAAGCGGGUAGAACUGAAAGGGACAUGAUGAUUGAGUCCUACAAAUGAUUAUUGAUAUUAUAAUUAAAAUAUUAAAAGCAGAUCUUUUAUUAUAUUAAGACUGCAAUUAUAUAUGUAUUGUCAUUUGUUGGAUGUUUUUCUCAUGUCAUAGCCACGAUCAAUGAUAUGCAUUGUUUAAUAUUAAUAAUAAAGGUGGCUAAUGAUGUUUUCUAUAUUUUUCCGAAAUAUAGACUCAUUAGUGUUUAUAAUAUAUAAUUUAAAGCAUAUUUAUUGCAUAUUAUUGUCAUUAUAAUAUAUAUUUGGGUGCUAGCAUAUGUAUAUAUGCUCAUAUAUGAUAAUAUAAAAUGACUAUAUUAUGCUUUGACUCUUAAGAGUUAAGUGUAUAUAAUGUUCAUAUUAUUAUUAUCAGUUUAAUUUAUGUAUAGCACCAUUAAAUCUGUGGCCAUUAGUAAGUCCUCUACCCGGCCCGUCUUGAAACACGGACCAAGGAGUCUAACAUGUACGCGAGUCAUUGGGUUAUACGAAACCUAAAGGCGCAUUGAAAGAGAAGGAAUAUAAAUUUUCUAUAUUCUAAGGUAUGAUCUUAAAUCCUAAGGGAUUUUUGAGCAAUACCGGCUUGUCUCAUAAUUUUUAAUUGAGGCAACGCAAGAGCGUACAUGAUGGUACCCGAAAGAUGGUGAACUAUGCUUGCAUAAGAUGAAGACAGAAGAAAUUCUGUUGGAGGUCUAUAGCGGUUUUGACGUGCAAAUCAAUCGUCAAAUGUGAGUAUAGGGGCGAAAGACUAAUCGAACCAUCUAGUAGCUGGUUCCCUCCGAAGUUUCCCUCAGGAUAGCUGGCACUUAUAAUAAUAUAAUAAUACAGUUUUAUCUGGUAAAGCGAAUGAUUAGAAGUAUUGGGGAUGAAAUGUCCUCAACUUAUUCUCAAACUUUAAAUGGGUAAGAUGCCUAACUCGCUUAAUUGGAGUUAUGGCUAUUGAAUGAAAGUGCCUAGUGGGCCAUUUUUGGUAAGCAGAACUGGCGAUGUGGGAUGAACCAAAAGUUGAGGUUAAGGUGCCUAAAUAAACGUUCAUGACAUAUCACAAAAGGUGUUGGUUGAUAUAGACAGCAGGACGGUGGCCAUGGAAGUCGGAAUCCGCUAAGGAGUGUGUAACAACUCACCUGCCGAAUCAACCAGCCCUGAAAAUGGAUGGCGGUAGAACGUUUUACCUAUACCUCACCGUUACUGUAUAAUAAUAAUUUAAUUUUUUAAUGAUAUAAUGUAAACAGUAACGUGUAGGAGGGUGACAUGGUAAGCAUAGAAGCUUCGACUGUAAAGUCGGGUGGAGCUGCCAUGUGUGCAGAUCUUGGUGGUAGUAGCAAGUAUUCAAGUGAGAUUCUUGAAGACUGAAGUGGAGAAGGGUUCC
This 1769-nucleotide ribosomal RNA is filed under the name Parapharyngiella sp. NVS-2013. RNAcentral's name for it is "eukaryotic LSU rRNA". It matches the Rfam family "Eukaryotic large subunit ribosomal RNA", at positions 64 to 1510 of the family's 3401-position model. The record is from RNAcentral. Lineage: Eukaryota; Metazoa; Platyhelminthes; Rhabdocoela; Trigonostomidae.